ACAGCCAAAAGCUAUGACCCAGACUUGUUCUUGACUGCCAAACUGCAGGGACAAAAAUAGAGAAGAGCAUAAGAGAAAGGAGGUCUAGUGACAGACCCAAAUUGUGAUCCACCUCAAGGGGAGGUCCAGCACCCUGACACUGUUACUGAUACUGUGGUGUGAUUGCAGAUAGGAGCCUAGCAUAGCUUCCCUUUGAGAGGAUCAAUAAGCAGCUGAAAGAGAAAGAUGCAGAUACUAGCACCCAACCAAUGGAAGGAAGCCGGGACCCCUGUGGUUGAAAUGCAGAAAAGCUGGAAGAAAGUGAGGAGGAGGAUGGCCCUAUCAACAGUCUCAACUGACCUGGAAUCCCAAGAUCUCUCAGACACUGAGCCACAAACAAGCAGCUUACACCAGCUGAUAUGAGGCCUAGACACAUAUACAGCAGAAGACUGCCUGGUUCAGCCUCUGUAAGAGAAAAUGAACUUAACCCUCUGGAGACUUGAGACCCCAUGGAGGGGGAAGACCUGCAAAGAAAACCAAACCAAACCUCCAGUGCUAUUUACUCCAUGUAUAAAGAUGUUUUGGACACCAAUUUUAUCAUAGAAAUAGUCCUGCAGGACAGUCAACGAGGGCCCAGAGGGUACCUGGAAGAAAAUGGAGGACAAGACAAGAGUCUGAUCAAGGGGAAAAUCAUGCAACAACAUGUGGUGUAGGAAACAAAAGGAGAUCAUAUAUUCCCCAAGAAAAUUGAUACACCAGUCACACCAAGUAUACUGGAAGGCAGGAAAAAUAUAUAGAACGGGAUUUUUCAGAGUAAUCACUUAAUAAUUGCAUUAUUAUAAGAGGGAUAACAGACCAGGAAUUCAAUGAAGAAAACUAGAGGCAAGAGCUCCUGAAGGUGCCUGCUUGUUAAUACUGUGAAUUGCUCUCUCAGUAGGUGCAGCUUCAUCUACCUAAAAAUGGUGGUAUUAAAACCAUCCAAGGAAACCAUUUUGUAUUUUGUAUGGUUGUGGACUUCCAUAGUUGUCUCUAUUCUGCAAGGAGAAGUUUCCGGAAGACAUAACUUGUUAAUAGAAAGAAGAACAAAUAUCUUGAUUAUUAUCCGCAAUUAUUCUGUUUUUAAUAAUGUAGUAAUAGCAGUAAAUUCUACUCCAAUAUGUGUAACUUUCCAAACACUGAGAAUUAGCCAGAUUUCUAGUACUAAGCAUGGUAUCUCUCUUAUUAAUAGAGUUUUAAGUACAGUUAGAGAGGUCUUGGUUACCGUGAAGGUAUGAAACCCAUGACUUUAUACUCAGAGUUAUGUUGGCUGUUGAUAUUGUUUAUUCUAGCCACAUAGUAUGGUUGGUUGCCUCUUUCCUGUAGAUUCAAAUUUCAAUAGAUAUAUCUACAGCGUUCUACUACCUAACAGAUCAGACAACCCUUUAAAGAAGUAACAGAAGGAGUAUUAGAAUUGGAGGAUCGAGGAAUUGUCUAUGAGUUUGAAUAUACUAGUAACGUCAGAUUUUUUCCUAUAAGGUCUCAUUAAAAUGAGUGCUUCAAAUGUGAGCCGAACAUGGACAGAAACAAUGGCCAUGCUGAUAUAGGGUAAGGCCCAUCAUUCUUCAUUCCUGCAUAGAAAACUGCAGGCAAGUGUGAAAAGAUGUAGUGAGUGGUGUUGGCUCAUAUUGUUGUUCAAGGCUGAAAACAUUAAAACAAGUAGAGUUUUAUGGAUUGAGAAAUUUAUAUGCUUAAAAUUAAAUAACAAAAAUCAAGUAAUGAUGGUUGUUUGGACUUACAUCUAUUCCUCAGUUCUAUUCUACUGACCUGCAUGUCUACUUCUGUCCCUGCAGUUCUUAAGAAUUGGAGGUUAGAGUGCCAGAAGAUAGGAGUUGCAGUUUUCAUUAGGCAGACAUGUGCUCAACACAGGUCCCCAGAAGGUGGUACUGGAUCUGCCAGAAGAGAGGACAACUGAGCCUACUUGUACAAUAACCAAGGGGCUGAGUCCAGGUUGUAAAAUAUAGUAUUAGGUUUCUAGAGGUAAGGAGGGAGAAUUUUGAAGCUGUUUGAAGAACUGCUGAAGAGCUUGGAGUAGUUCCUGACAUGUCUGAAUUAUGGCUCAAGAAGGAAAUGGAUGGAAGUUCUACUUAAUAAUUAAGUAAGAUAGCAGAGUUCAAGGGGGAAGGAAAGGAGAGGGCUAUAUUAGGUUGCACAGUCAGUCAGUUCAGGCCUUUAGAUGGAAAAUUCCCAGAAAGAGCAGAAGGGAAAGUCUACUUGUAUUGAAAUCAAGGGCAUCAGUAAAUGUCUUAGGUUACAAUUAGUGCCAAAUAGGGGCCUAAGAAGGGAAAAAACACUUAACAAACAUUCAUCUUUAACCUGUGACAUACAUGUCUCAGAGGGAAAAAGAGGAAAUGUCUUCUUGUGAAGGAAUGAUAUCAACAAUGCUAACCAGAAAUAAAAGAAAACACAAGAACAUAAGACAAAAUACACAUAAGAAAAAUAGAAUUCUCCUCCCCAUUCUCCUCCCUUUCAUCCUCCUCCCCAUCCUCUUUCUUUUCCUCCUCUUCUUCCUCCUCAUCUAUUUCUUUUCCUCAUAUCACAUUAAAAAGUAGUUUCUCAGAAGGGGGAAGAAAAUAAUCUCUGGAAAGUAUAGGGAGAGAUUGAUCUGGGAAGGAGGGAGGAAAGGAAAAGGGGACCCAGUUCAGACAUGGGGGGAGAAAAGAGUGAUUUGCUGCAUUUUUAGGCAGUAGUGGCACACACAUUUAACUGCAUCACCUAAGAAGCAGUGUCAGAUCUUGGUGUGUUCAAGGACAGCCUGGUCUACAGAGUGAGUGUCAGGACUAAACAGAGAAACUCUGUCAUGCAAACCACCCCUAAUGUUUGUUAAGUGUUUUUCUUAUUUCACGUUCAUAAGUUUCUACAUUUUUUUCUUACUUUAUUAUUUGGGAUUUGAAUUCAUUGCUACUUAGUUGUGGUCUAUUCUUAGUACUAGAAGAGGUGCUGUGAUUUAUUUAUUUUGAUAUUAUUAAGAUAUUCCCAUUUCUGUUAAGGUGAUAAGCUUUCUAUUGUUUAGUUUGAUGGGAUGGCAAGUGUACCGUAUGAUUUUCAAAUGUUGAAUUCCUCGUGUAUUCUGAAAUAAACACAAUUUUGUUGUAGUUGAUUGUUAGACAUUGUCAUAUUCCCCUUAAUAACAUUGUAUUAGGGUAAUUGCAUCAUUGGUCCCUGGGGAUAUAAUUUUUAAUUUUAUUAUAAUGACUGAAUCUUAUUUUGCCAUUAGCAUUGGAGUAAUUUCAUUAAAAUGAGAAAUUAUCUCUUAUACCAAAGAAAACUUUACAUACAAUUCAUUUCUUCUUAAAUAUUA
Non-coding RNA from Rattus norvegicus (Norway rat), 3316 nucleotides. The record is from RefSeq and is a predicted model, not a curated record. Lineage: Eukaryota; Metazoa; Chordata; Mammalia; Rodentia; Muridae.